Molecule: unclassified non-coding RNA, 329 nt
Filed under: soil metagenome
Description: partial contains 5.8S ribosomal RNA, internal transcribed spacer 2, and large subunit ribosomal RNA
Rfam family: 5.8S ribosomal RNA (bases 1-120)
Source: RNAcentral
GAUGAAGAACGUAGCGAAAUGCGAUAAGUAAUGUGAAUUGCAGAAUUCAGUGAAUCAUCGAAUCUUUGAACGCACAUUGCGCCCUCUGGUAUUCCGGGGGACAUGCCUGUUCGAGCGUCAUUAUAACCACUCAAGCUCUCGCUUGGUAUUGGGGUUCGCGGUUUCGCGGCCCCUAAAAUCAGUGGCGGUGCCUGUCGGCUCUACGCGUAGUAAUACUUCUCGCGAUUGAGUUCGAUAGGUCUACUUGCCAGUAACCCCCAAUUUUUACAGGUUGACCUCGGAUCAGGUAGGGAUACCCGCUGAACUUAAGCAUAUCAAUAAGCGGAGGA